AAGCCAUCACCGCCGAUUGGAUCAAUCUACAUGAAGAGCUGAUACGGAAAGCGCCUCUCGUAAUUGUGGAUACCAACAUCAGUGACGAAGCAAUGACGGCUACAUUUGAGCUAUGCUUGCGAUAUGGCAAACCAGGCUCAAGCGCCAUUAGGCAGUGAUCCCCAAAGUGCGGCCCUCGAAGACUUUUCCCGCGGCCCGCAAAUGAUUCAAGAAUAUGCACUACAUGUGGCCCAAUAUGUAAUAUUACCUAUUAGGAAAAGCAUCG
This is a long non-coding RNA of Armigeres subalbatus, 265 nucleotides long. RefSeq lists it as uncharacterized. The transcript is spliced from 3 exons. NCBI's taxonomy places the organism in Eukaryota, Metazoa, Arthropoda, Insecta, Diptera, Culicidae. The record is from RefSeq and is a predicted model, not a curated record.